UUAAAAUCUAUGUUGAACUUCAUAUUGCUAGCUUCUUAAAUGGGCACACUUUAGAUAGUAAUGGAAAAUUCUCUGGGUAAAAAACUUUUUUGUGCGUUUAUGAUAGGAAGCAGGAAAGGGCAACAGUGUUCUGACCUAUUUUUGAAAUAAAGCUUUGCUCUAUAAAAAAAAACUUGCUGAUUCAUUCUAUCUGUCACUUAGCCAAGACUAAUUAUUGUCUUCUGUGUGCCAAGAACUACAGAGAAUCCACAGAGAUGAGCAAGAAAUGGUUCUUCUUUAAUAGGAGUUUAUUUCCUAGUAAGUAGAAUCACAAAGGAAGUAAAUGUGACAAAGUAUUCUAGAUGUUACAGUAGAAAUAUAAACUAAGAAGGUAUGGGUAUGGUUAAUUUCUACCCCAAAGUCAAGCUUCUUGCAAAAGCAAUGGUAGUGGAUAACUAUGAUAAUGAACACAUUUUCACCAAGAAGAUUACUACUUCUGUCUUAAUAAAGAUGUCAUAUUAUUGGAUCCCUGAUAACUGGAUUCCUGCAUUAUCAACUCUAACAGGAGCUCUUUUUGUGCUGUGCCUCUAUGCCGUUGCAUGGUGCCUCUUCAAAGAUGACAGGAAUACAGUAACUAUUUGACAAUAAGACAGGAGAAGUCAAGAUGUUGAACAAUUAAGAGAAGAAUAUGAUGCCAAUGGAAGACAUUUGACUUUAACCAGCAUAAAGGUCACCAUAUCUUCAUGUCACUUGCUUUAUUUGAAAAGGCCUUUUAAAAUCACAGCUUUUAACAAUAAAACUAUAUCAGUUUUUUUUUUUACAUAGCUGAAUAUUUUUGUGUAAUAUGUCACAUAUUUUGAUAGGUUUGAAUUUUACUACUGCAAUUAUGUGAAGGUUUAUAUGCCAGAGAUGUGCUUGUUUUGGUUAAAACAUUUACAGUGCUAGACAAUCACCAAUAGAAAAUAAGUUGCAGAUUCCAAUUGUGUUUUGAUUGUGAUUGUAUUUCAAUGACUAAUAUUAAAUUAAGGUAUUUAAAAUACAUAUUUACAUAAAAUCAUUUAUAAAAUAAAAGUAUCAUAUAAAAUGAUUGAAUUUUUUAUCAGACUACUCAGAACCUGGAUUUGAUUUUCAUUUUUUAAAGGCACAGUCAGUGAGAAACAAUUUUGUACCACUUUAAUGAUGCCCUUUGAUAAAUUUAAAAAAUAUCCCACAUGCUUACUUAAUUCCAAUUUCCCAACAUACCUCAGAAACGUAAGAGUUCAGCUGCAGAAUUGGUGCUACUUUAUGAGCAGCAAUACUGUAAAAAAAAAAAACAAACAACAACUUGCUCAGGUUUUUCCUAAGUAUACGUCUCAAAUCAGAUAGUAUCUUGAGUCAGCUUUCUCUGAAAAUCCAGUGCUUAGGCAGAUACUUGCUUGCAGGAGGUUUACUAAAAGCCUGUUUUGGGUAAUAACAUCUAGGCUGUGAGAGAAGCAGGACUGGUCAGGAAUAGAACUGUGGUAUAGUGACAAAAGAGGACUGAUCAGAGGUUAUAGCCUAGAGUAUAAGUAAUGUAAAACAGGCUAAUGGAGGGAAAUAAUGCUAUCUAGUUGUUGUGAUUUUUCAGUCCAUCUAUAGCAGCAAAAAGUCUUUUUUAUUUUUGCAACCAUAUACUGAACUAGCUCACCCAUUAAGCAGACUCAGCCUUUUCUCUCCUCUAACAGCUGGGACACCCAAUGUAACUUUUUUUUUUUUUUUGAGACUGAGUCUUGCUCUGUCACCAGGCUGGAGUGCAGCAGCAUGAUCUCUGUUCACUGUAACCUCUGCCACCCAGGUUCAAGCGAUUCUCCUGCCUCAUUCUCCUAAGUAGCUGGGACUACAGGCAUGGGCUACCAUGGCCAGAUAAUUUUUGUAUAAGUAGAGAUGGGGUUUCACCAUAUUGGCCAGGAUGGUCUCUAUCUCUUGACCUCAUGAUCCUCCCACCUCAGCCUCCCAAAAUGCUGGUAUUACAGGUGUGAGCCACUACACCUGGCCCCAAUGUAACCUUAGGUUGAGGGAGAGGUAUUAGUGCAAACUUGGAGAUGUGUGCCACCAGGGUAUGCAGCUAAUGUGUGUCCUCUGGCUCUGCUCAGGCCUGAUCCCACAUGUGCUUUCGUUUUACUCUGAGUCGUUGGUUUCCCCCAACUUUUGACUUAGUUGUGCUAAUACAAUGCAGUUCAUGAUGGGUAGCUGCGGCCACAGGGUCACUGAAUAUUCUAUGAUAAAGAUUAUAUUCUUUAUUUUUAGCACACUGGGAUUUAUUCUUUAAAUUUAUUUUCAAUGGCAGAG
RNAcentral lists this long non-coding RNA (2286 nucleotides) under Callithrix jacchus (white-tufted-ear marmoset). RNAcentral's name for it is "lncRNA (ENSCJAG00000085277.1)". Lineage: Eukaryota; Metazoa; Chordata; Mammalia; Primates; Cebidae. The record is from RNAcentral.